Molecule: ribosomal RNA, 305 nt
Filed under: uncultured bacterium
Lineage: Bacteria
Description: bacterial SSU rRNA
Rfam family: Bacterial small subunit ribosomal RNA
Source: RNAcentral
GCCUACGGGGGGCAGCAGUGGGGAAUAUUGCACAAUGGGGGAAACCCUGAUGCAGCAACGCCGCGUGAGUGAUGACGGCCUUCGGGUUGUAAAGCUCUGUCUUCAGGGACGAUAAUGACGGUACCUGAGGAGGAAGCCACGGCUAACUACGUGCCAGCAGCCGCGGUAAUACGUAGGUGGCGAGCGUUGUCCGGAUUUACUGGGCGUAAAGGGAGCGUAGGCGGUCCUGCAAGUCUGGAGUGAAACGCAUGAGCUCAACUCAUGCAUGGCUUUGGAAACUGGAGGACUGGAGAGCAGGAGAGGGG